Molecule: ribosomal RNA, 1593 nt
Filed under: metagenome
Description: bacterial LSU rRNA
Rfam family: Bacterial large subunit ribosomal RNA
Source: RNAcentral
AAAUCCUCCCAUGGGUUAGUCGGUCCCUAAGCCAAGGCCGAAAGGCGUAGGUGAUGGUAAGCAGGUUAAUAUUCCUGCACCACUAGGGAUGGCGUUGAAGCAAGCAGGGACGGAGAAGGGUAUGCUGAGCCAGCGAAUGGUUGUGCUGGUUCAAACCUGUAGGUGGUUCACGUAGGACGCGACAGCGACAAACGCGUGAACAGCACAUCGAGAGGUGAUGAGGUGGAGCUCCGGCUUCGAAACUCAGUGAUCCCAUGCUUCCAAGAAAAGCUGCGUGCAGAGCCUCUUUAGUGACCGUACUGCAAACCGACUCAGGUGGGCGGGGUGAAUAUCCCAAGGCGCGUGAGAGAACACUGGCCAAGGAACUCGGCAAAAUGACACCGUAACUUCGGGAGAAGGUGUGCCCGUAGACGUGAAAGGACUUGCUCCUCGAGCGUCCGUGGGUUGCAGAGAAUUGAGGGUAGCGACUGUUUACUAAAAACACAGGACUGUGCGAACUCGUAAGAGGACGUAUACGGUCUGACGCCUGCCCGGUGCUGGAAGGUUAAGGGGAGAUGUCAGCGCAAGCGAAGCAUCGAACCGAAGCCCCAGUAAACGGCGGCCGUAACGAUAACGGUCCUAAGGUAGCGAAAUUCCUUGUCGGGUAAGUUCCGACCUGCACGAAUGGCGUAACGACUUCCCUACUGUCUCGGUCAGUGACUCAGCGAAAUUGUAUUGGGGGUGAAGAUACCCUCUACCCGCGGCAAGACGGAAAGACCCCAUGAACCUUCACUGUAAGUUGGCAGUGAAGUUCGGGUCAGCCUGCGUAGGAUAGGUGGGAGGCUUUGAUGCCGGGAUUCCGGUUUCGGCGGAGCCAACCUUGAAAUACCACCCUGGCUGUUCUGGACUUCUAACCUAGGCCCAUUAUCUGGGUCGGGGACACUGCCUGCUGGGCAGUUUGACUGGGGCGGUCGCCUCCAAAAGAGUAACGGAGGCGCGCGAAGGUUCCCUCAGGCUGAAUGGAAACCAGCCGUAGAGUGCAAAGGCAUAAGGGAGCUUAACUGUGAGACCGACAGGUCGAACAGGUGAGAAAUCAGGUCUUAGUGAUCCGGUGGCACUGCAUGGAAGGGCCAUCGCUCAACGGAUAAAAGGUACUCUGGGGAUAACAGGCUGAUCGCGCCUGAGAGUCCAUAUCGGCGGCGCGGUUUGGCACCUCGAUGUCGGCUCAUCGCAUCCUGGGGCUGGAGCAGGUCCCAAGGGUUUGGCUGUUCGCCAAUUAAAGCGGUACGCGAGCUGGGUUUAGAACGUCGUGAGACAGUUCGGUCCCUAUCUGCCGUGGGCGCAGGAUACUUGAGAGGAGCUAUUCAUAGUACGAGAGGACCUGAAUGGACGCACCCCUAGUGUGCCGGUUGUCACGCCAGUGGCAUAGCCGGGUAGCUAUGUGCGGAACGGAUAACCGCUGAAAGCAUCUAAGCGGGAAGCCGGCCUCAAGAUUAGGUAUCCCGGACGCAAGUCCCUAAAGACCCCACGUAGACUACGUGGUUGAUAGGUCAGGUGUGGAAGCACAGCAAUGUGCGGAGCUAACUGAUACUAAUCGGUCGUGCGGCUUUUCCG